AUGAACGCUGGCGGCGUGCCUAAUACAUGCAAGUCGAGCGAACGGACGAGAAGCUUGCUUCUCUGAUGUUAGCGGCGGACGGGUGAGUAACACGUGGAUAACCUACCUAUAAGACUGGGAUAACUUCGGGAAACCGGAGCUAAUACCGGAUAAUAUUUUGAACCGCAUGGUUCAAAAGUGAAAGACGGUCUUGCUGUCACUUAUAGAUGGAUCCGCGCUGCAUUAGCUAGUUGGUAAGGUAACGGCUUACCAAGGCAACGAUGCAUAGCCGACCUGAGAGGGUGAUCGGCCACACUGGAACUGAGACACGGUCCAGACUCCUGCGGGAGGCAGCAGUAGGGAAUCUUCCGCAAUGGGCGAAAGCCUGACGGAGCAACGCCGCGUGAGUGAUGAAGGUCUUCGGAUCGGAAAACUCUGUUAUUAGGGAAGAACAUAUGUGUAAGUAACUGUGCACAUAUUGACGGUACCUAAUCAGAAAGCCACGGCUAACUACGUG
This 496-nucleotide ribosomal RNA is filed under the name uncultured bacterium. RNAcentral describes it as "partial 16S ribosomal RNA". It matches the Rfam family "Bacterial small subunit ribosomal RNA", at positions 29 to 507 of the family's 1533-position model. The record is from RNAcentral.